GGCAAAUAAUAGGACUCCUACAGCUUCAAGCCUUGUGGGUUGGUGACCAUCGGAGUAGUCGGCAAAGUUAACCCUAAAGAUGCCAAUCUCAAGUUAACUUCCAAGCACCCUCUCACAUAGCAAGCCAAACCUUAGUGGGAGCAAAUACUAAAACAUCCAGGUAAAUCUUUCUCUGUCUCUCAACCAAAAAAACCAUUGAUAUACUGU
RNAcentral lists this unclassified non-coding RNA (207 nucleotides) under Hevea brasiliensis (rubber tree). The record is from RNAcentral. Lineage: Eukaryota; Viridiplantae; Streptophyta; Magnoliopsida; Malpighiales; Euphorbiaceae.